RNAcentral lists this ribosomal RNA (440 nucleotides) under uncultured bacterium. RNAcentral's name for it is "partial 16S ribosomal RNA". It matches the Rfam family "Bacterial small subunit ribosomal RNA", at positions 338 to 795 of the family's 1533-position model. The record is from RNAcentral.
CCUACGGGUGGCAGCAGUGGGGAAUAUUGCACAAUGGGGGCAACCCUGAUGCAGCGACGCCGCGUGAGCGAUGACGUAUUUCGGUAUGUAAAGCUCUAUCAGCAGGGAAGAAGAUGACGGUACCUGACUCAGAAGCCCCGGCUAACUACGUGCCAGCAGCCGCGGUAAUACGUAGGGGGCAAGCGUUAUACGGAUUUACUGGGUGUAAAGGGAGCGUAGACGGCGAUGCAAGCCAGAUGUGAAAGCCCGGGGCUCAACCCCGGAACUGCAUUUGGAACUGUGUGGCUGGAGUGUCGGAGAGGCAGGCGGAAUUCCUGGUGUAGCGGUGAAAUGCGUAGAUAUUAGGAAGAACACCGGUGGCGAAGGCGGCCGGCUGGGCGAUGACUGACGUUGAGGCUCGAAAGCGUGGGGAGCAAACAGGAUUAGAUACCCCAGUAGUC